GAUGAACGCUAGCUACAGGCUUAACACAUGCAAGUCGAGGGGAAACGAUAGAGAAAGCUUGCUUUUUCUAGGCGUCGACCGGCGCACGGGUGAGUAACGCGUAUCCAACCUGCCCAUCACUUGGGGAUAACCUUGCGAAAGUAAGACUAAUACCCAAUGAUAUCUCUAGAAGACACCUGAAAGGGAUUAAAGAUUUAUCGGUGAUGGAUGGGGAUGCGUCUGAUUAGCUUGUUGGCGGGGUAACGGCCCACCAAGGCGACGAUCAGUAGGGGUUCUGGGAGGAAGGUCCCCCACAUUGGAAAUGAGACACGGUCCAAACUCCUACGGGAGGCAGCAGUGAGGAAUAUUGGUCAAUGGGCGAGAGCCUGAACCAGCCAAGUAGCGUGCAGGAUGACGGCCCUAUGGGUUGUAAACUGCUUUUAUAAGGGAAUAAAGUGAGUCUCGUGAGACUUUUUGCAUGUACCUUAUGAAUAAGGACCGGCUAAUUCCGUGCCAGCCGCCGCGGUAA
This 508-nucleotide ribosomal RNA is filed under the name uncultured bacterium. RNAcentral's name for it is "partial 16S ribosomal RNA". It matches the Rfam family "Bacterial small subunit ribosomal RNA", at positions 28 to 523 of the family's 1533-position model. The record is from RNAcentral.